Cyclopterus lumpus (lumpfish) is the source of this 862-nucleotide long non-coding RNA. RefSeq lists it as uncharacterized. NCBI's taxonomy places the organism in Eukaryota, Metazoa, Chordata, Actinopteri, Perciformes, Cyclopteridae. The record is from RefSeq and is a predicted model, not a curated record. The transcript is spliced from 7 exons.
ACCGACCGCUAUUAACAACCAUAAAAGAAGAAAACGAGGAAGCGUAGUUCUUCUUACUGGACGACGCGAUCUUGCUCCUCCACGUUGAAUUAAGUGGCUAGCAGCAUGGAGACCCUCGUACAUAUAGCAUGUUGCUCUCUAUCGGCCACGUUUGCUGUAAAACGGAACCAGGUUUUAAAUGGAACAACACAAAGUUGAGCCUGCAACUCUGUAACGCUGCGGGUAAUACAGGCUGGCUAGAUGUAGGCUCAAUGCAUUUGGUUAACGUUAGUUAACCAAGUUAGUUAAAGGUGUGGUAUGUGGACGUGGGAAGCACGUGGCGGCUAGCUAGAAGUAACGCUAACUUACAUUGCACUGGAAAGCAGUUGUUUAGUCACAGUCAUUACAUUUGUUGCUUUAACACCACGAGACAAAUGCAGGGUACAUUGGAGGAGAUGGCCUGACCUGACUCAUCACGGAGGAGCUCCCAGCUUGAAACACGCCAUGUGGCAGAGAUGCCUUGUCUGAAGAUAUGGGAUUAUUGAUCCUGAUGUGGCCAAGAGUACGAACACAGAGCAUUCGUCAGAAUAUGUUUUUAUGGAGAAGUGCUGUAAUGCCCACUCGGUCACAUUGCUGAUCACCGAAGAAACAUGGUUGCUUCAACAGAGAGGCUAGAAGAUGCUGGUCUGUGGUGGAUACAGUCAGACACCAUGCAAAAGCCUAGUCUCAUUUCUGCCAAAUGACUGGUGGCUACUUUUGAAGAGGACCAUGAGAAAAAAAGACAACUCCUUUUGUUCACGCUCCACCAGGGAAAGCAAUAUCGCCUGCCUUUGGGUGGCUGUACCUCACUCUUCUUUUGUAAUAAACUUGUAACUGUUCAAAA